Molecule: ribosomal RNA, 253 nt
Filed under: uncultured bacterium
Lineage: Bacteria
Description: partial 16S ribosomal RNA
Rfam family: Bacterial small subunit ribosomal RNA
Source: RNAcentral
UACAGAGGGGGCGAGCGUUGUUCGGAAUUACUGGGCGUAAAGGGCGCGUAGGCGGCCUCUUAAGUCGAACGUGAAAUCCCCGGGCUCAACCCGGGAACUGCGUCCGAUACUGGGAGGCUUGAAUCCGGGAGAGGGAUGUGGAAUUCCAGGUGUAGCGGUGAAAUGCGUAGAUAUCUGGAGGAACACCGGUGGCGAAGGCGGCAUCCUGGACCGAGAUUGACGCUGAGGAGCGAAAGCUAGGGGAGCAAACGGG